AGUAAAGAGUACGACCGGGUUAAGUGGAUUUUUCUUGAACGUAUCAUGCUUAAGAUGGCUUUGCCAAGGCCUGGGUCCUGUUAAUUAAAAUUUGUAUGAGCACUGUUACCUACCCUUUCAACCUUAACGGGGAGCGGUUAGGUCAUAUUACCCCCAGUAGAGGUCUACGGUAAGGAGAUCUUUUGUCCCCUUACUUAUUUCUGUUAUGUGUUGAGGGCCUGUCUUGUCUUUUUCAUGGGGCCGAAAAGCGAAAAUCGAUCUCCGAUUUGUCCAUUGCUAAACACAGUCCACUGAUUUCUCAUCUCUUCUUUGUCGAUGACAGUCUAAUCUUCUUCAAAGCGGUGCCUGUCGAAGGGGCAACAGUAUGUUCAAUUCUCCAUUGGUAUGAGCGAGCUUAUGGGAAACUAUAAAUUUUGAAAAGUCCGUUAUUUCUUUUAGCCUGAAUACUGGGAGCGAGGUUAUUCAUGAUAUUACCCAUUUUUUUGGCGUUCCACAGACCCGUCGUCAUUAACAGUAUUUGGGGCUUCCAUCUUUCAUGCCACAAAACCAACGGAAUACAUUGGGUUUUAUUAAAGAUCGCGUAUGGCGGCGGCUCCAAGGGUGGCAAGGUAAACUUUUUUUCCAUUAGGGGGCAUGAAAAACCUUUUUCCAUUAGGGGGCGUGAAAUCCUUAUUAAGACUGUGAUUCAAGCUAAGCUAUUCCCUGUUAUACUAUGAAUUGUUUUCGUCUGUCGAAAGCUUUGAUUCAUGAACUGCACCAAAUGAUAGCUCGGUUCUGGUGGAAGGGUCUGGAUGAGGCACGUCGAAUUCAUUGGGUGAGCUGGGUUGAAGGCUUCUGCAGGAUCGUCUUCUCUUCUGGCCUGUGUGUUGAAGGGGCGAUGUUUCCAGACUAGUUCGUUUAUGGACACGAACAUUGGUUGGACCCCUCCUUUAUCUGGCGUAGUAUACUAUGCGGUCGGGAUCUUCUUCGCCGAGGCCUUCGUUGGCGGGUGGGCAAUUGGUGAAUCGAUUAAGGUGUACGGGACUAAUUGGCUUCCUCGGGAUGUGUUGCUUCAGGUUCGCUCACCUUGGCAUCUUCCAGUUUCAAGCCAUGUUUGCGAUCUUUUCACAGCCUUGGGCCCAUUGAAAUGAUCCUUUAGUUCGAGAGAGGUUUGAUACUAUUAAGGCAUCCAUUAUUUUAGGCCUUUCCCAGGACGGUCGUUCUCGACCAGGUCAUCAAAUUUGGUACUUUGAUAAAUCAAGUGUGUUUUCCGUUAAAA
Momordica charantia (bitter melon) is the source of this 1258-nucleotide non-coding RNA. The record is from RefSeq and is a predicted model, not a curated record. Lineage: Eukaryota; Viridiplantae; Streptophyta; Magnoliopsida; Cucurbitales; Cucurbitaceae.